Molecule: ribosomal RNA, 473 nt
Filed under: uncultured bacterium
Lineage: Bacteria
Description: partial 16S ribosomal RNA
Rfam family: Bacterial small subunit ribosomal RNA
Source: RNAcentral
GACGAACGCUGGCGGCGUGCUUAACACAUGCAAGUCGAACGGUAAGGCCCUUCGGGGUACACGAGUGGCGAACGGGUGAGUAACACGUGGGUGAUCUGCCCUGCACUUCGGGAUAAGCCUGGGAAACUGGGUCUAAUACCGGAUAGGACCACUGCCUGCAUGGGUGGUGGUGGAAAGCUUUUGCGGUGUGGGAUGGGCCCGCGGCCUAUCAGCUUGUUGGUGGGGUGAUGGCCUACCAAGGCGACGACGGGUAGCCGGCCUGAGAGGGUGACCGGCCACACUGGGACUGAGAUACGGCCCAGACUCCUACGGGAGGCAGCAGUGGGGAAUAUUGCACAAUGGGCGCAAGCCUGAUGCAGCGACGCCGCGUGAGGGAUGACGGCCUUCGGGUUGUAAACCGCUUUCAGCAGGGACGAAAAUGACGGUACCUGCAGAAGAAGCUCCGGCUAACUACGUGCCAGCCGCCGCAGUAA